GACGAACGCUGGCGGCAGGCCUAACACAUGCAAGUCGAGCGGACCCGUCGGGGUUAGCUGCGGAGGGGGAAGUGCCGCGUGGGGAUAUGCCCUUCUCUAAGGAAUAGUCCUGGGAAACUGGGGGUAAUACCGUAUACGCCAAUACGGGGUAAGAUUUAUCGGGGAAGGAUUAGCACUCGUUGGAUUAGGUAGUUGGUCGGGUAAUGGCCUAUCAAGCGGACUAUCCAUAGCUGGAUCGAGAGGAUGAUCAGGCACACUGGGGCUGAGAGACGGAGCAGAUUUCUACGAGUGGAAGCAAGGCGGAAUCUGAGACGACGGGGGCAACACUGAUCUAGCCAGGUCGUGUGAGUGAUGAAGGCCUUAGGGUUGUAAAGCUCUGUCAGAUGUGAAGAUAAUGACGGUACCAGAAGAAGAAGCCCCGGCUAACUCCGUG
This 433-nucleotide ribosomal RNA is filed under the name uncultured bacterium. RNAcentral describes it as "partial 16S ribosomal RNA". It matches the Rfam family "Bacterial small subunit ribosomal RNA", at positions 28 to 507 of the family's 1533-position model. The record is from RNAcentral.